Molecule: long non-coding RNA, 521 nt
Filed under: Manihot esculenta (cassava)
Lineage: Eukaryota; Viridiplantae; Streptophyta; Magnoliopsida; Malpighiales; Euphorbiaceae
Description: long non-coding RNA (MESC_LNC008894)
Source: RNAcentral
GAAUUGAUCCGACUCAAGAGAAGAACUCAGAUGAAGAGACAAAGCAGUACGGCAAUGCCAUCCUCGCCAGGGAGAUGAGACCAAAUACACAAGUCGAUGAUUUCGCUGCCAAUCUCCAGCACCCAAACAAGUAAAUGACUCCUUUAAGCAAAAGAAAUAAAACUACCCAAGAGCUUUUACCAGCCGAGAACUAGUAAACUCAGAGGAAAACAACAAAGGGCCAAAGGAAACCAGUGAGCGAGAAGAUUAUAGAGCGGUUAGGUAGUGCUUCUUUGGCACUCUCAUUCUCAUGUAGCCAGUUGAGGGACCAGAUGCUGCACAAUCACAAUGGCAUCAUUAGUGUACUUGGAGAUGCCAUGGCCAAUAUCAAAUCAAGGACCUGGAGAUCCUAGAGGAAGAGGCUAAUUCAACAUCAUUACAACCUGAAUCUCUUCCUGAAAGAGGCACUGAGGCUUUCCAGCUAUCCAUGUUGAAGAGAUACUUUCGUGCAAGCACACCUGCAAGACAAGAGCAAACCAAAC